RNAcentral lists this long non-coding RNA (337 nucleotides) under Mytilus galloprovincialis (Mediterranean mussel). Lineage: Eukaryota; Metazoa; Mollusca; Bivalvia; Mytilida; Mytilidae. The record is from RNAcentral.
GAUAAUUGACAGCCAACAAAUCGGUUUCAUUUUGUAAGUUUUGAAGGAUUAUGUCAGAACAAGCAUAUGUUUUGUUCUCUAAUAGAUUAAUUUUUGCCUUCAUAAUUUCGUUUUCCUGUUCUACAGCAAACAUUCGCUCAUGUACCUUCGUAACGUACUGUUCUAAACGUAACCUGGAUUGUCGUUCUUGGUAUAUCAUAUCCAUUAAUGUAUUGUAGUGACUGUCGGUUAAAAAGGCUCCAUUGUUAGUCCCAGGUCUCGUUGUUUUAUCAUUUAACAAAAAAGAACACGAAAAAUCAAACACCAGAGCAAUAAACACAAGUGAUAUAAAACCUUU